UACUACAGGUGACAUCAUCAACCUCAUCAACCUCAUUUGGAGGUGGCCCUCAAGGAAUAGGGUUGCCUGCCCCAUUUGAUUUAUUUUCCCACUGUCUCAUUUCCUAACGUAACACUUUAUUGCUGACUUUGUAGGUGACCUUUAAAUAUAUAUAUACAUAUAUAUUAUAAUAUUUGUUUAUUUUUUGGGGUCGGAAAUGUGGACUUUUUGUCUUCUCUGCGUCUGUUUACCAUGGUCGUCGUGCGGUGACGCAGAAACAGCUGCUAACGUUGCGGCGGAAGGCAGGGCGGCGCUGCAGAGGGUUCGGAACCUUGCGGCCCAACCGCGCUAUGGUGAAUGCUGGUCUAAUGCGCUGGAGAAUAUCGACGCGCGUUGCAGAGACUUCACAGUUGAUAUACAGAGUAGGAUUGCCCUACGUUUUACUCACUGUCACCUGCGCAAAUCUGGCCGUUCAUUCCCAGCAUGUCCAGAGGGCAGCGAGGUCAGCAGCUGUACUAGAACCAUGGACCCUGUGGCCUUCAACGCCUACACGGAAUUCUUCACCCACGCCCACAGCAUCUGUCGACACCUGCAGAGUGAGAGCUGGCAACACCAGGCUGAGAACACCAUUCACAGGCUAACAGAGAGCUCAGCGGGGGUGGUGGAGCGAUUGUCCUCAACCCAACGUAUGGCUGAGAGCCUAGUGGAGGCCCAGAGCGUCGCCCUCAAGUCACAGGAGACGAUCCUACGCAACGGAGAGGAACUCAAACACACUCUCCACCAUUCUACCCAAGGCAUCAGAGCAGUAUUUGAUGAGAUGAGACUGUCAACCCAGGAGCAACAAGUAGCAUUCGCAGAGAUCUUCAACCGUGUCACUUUCCUCCAGAGUUUCAUCAUGUCAGAGUCUCACACCCUCACCAGUCUACUCUACAACUCACUGGGGUUCCUCGUCUCCUUCUUCCUCACCUCGACACAGCGGACUGCUCCAGCCAGGUUUGUUCUGUUUGGUCUGGUAGUGCUGAAUGUGUACCUGGAGAGGAUGCUCUGUAGAGCGGUGCUGGACUCCUCUGAACCAGGCUACCAGCAGAUGGAGCAAAUCAGCCUGUUGGUGGGCCUCCUCAGAAGGGCCAUGGUUCUAGUGGGUCUAUUGGCUCUGGUCUACGUUGCUGUACGGUAUCGUAACGUCACCAAAGAGAGCCUGGAGAUCCUCACCCAACUCAAAGAGACUCGUACAAGUCUUCAGCUGGCCCUGCAGAAAGCCGAGUGUCUCUCUGAGGACAGGAGGAGCAGCGGAGCAAGAGGUCGAAGGUCAGAACAACGACCCAGUAGUAGGAAGGAGAAUAAGGAAGAAGACGACGACACUUCAGAUUUCACAUCAGAGAAACCCUACAUGACUCAAACCUAUGAUGCCAGUUGUUUGUGUUGCAUCAGGCUGGCAGUACGACAGCAGUCACAGCAGUCACAGCACCCUUGGAGGAGAGGAGACCCAGACCCAACGUACCCUGCCCAACCCUGCAAGACCUCAGCGUCGCUCCUCUGUCUCUAGACGUGCCCCGUCCUCCCCUUUGGUCUACAGUAUACUGGUGGAGGAUAAGCAGACACGCUACAAUCUGAGGAACCGGAGAUCUUCUGUGUCAGGCCUGGGGACAGACAGAGAGAGGGACUGACAUGGGCCUGGGGACUGACAUGGGCCUGGGGACAGACAGAGAGAGGGACUGACAUGGGCCUGGGGACAGACAGAGAGAGGGACUGACAUGGGCCUGGGGACAGACAGAGAGAGGGACUGACAUGGGCCUGGGGACAGACAUGGGCCUGGGGACAGACAGAGAGAGGGACUGACAUGGGCCUGGGGACAGACAGACAGAGAGAGGGACUGACAUGGGCCUGGGGACUGACAUGGGCCUGGGGACAGACAGAGGGACUGACUUGGGCCUGGGGACAGAGAGAGGGACUGACAUGGGCCUGGGGACUGACAUGGGCCUGGGGACAGAGACAGAGGGACUGACUUGGGCCUGGGGACAGAGAGAGAGGGACUGACAUGGGCCUGGGGAUAGAGAGAGAGGGACUGACAUGGGCCUGGGGACAGAGAGAGAGGGACUGACAUGGGCCUGGGGACAGACCGAGAGGGACUGACAUGGGCCUGGGGACAUGGGCCUGGGGACAGAGAGACUGAUUUAGAUCAAAGUAUACCCAAACGCUCUUCAGCCUUGGCUAAAGGAAUGCUUUUAUGGACUGACAUGGGCCUGGGGACUGACAUGGGCCUGGGGACAGACAGACAGACAGACCGACUGAUUUAAUACUUUUAUGGACUCAGAUGAUUCUUGCUUCAACCUCUGGUUCAUAGCAGUGAAGCAGCUGAUCCCACGAUACAUGUGUUAAAUAUUGGCCAUUUUCAUGAAUAUCACUGAUUUUCAGGAAUGUAGUAAUCAAAACUGUCUCAAUCUUGUGUAUUUUAAGUAAAUAAAGCUUUUAAAAUAUUU
RNA transcript from Oncorhynchus gorbuscha (pink salmon), 2459 nucleotides. RefSeq lists it as uncharacterized. The record is from RefSeq and is a predicted model, not a curated record. Lineage: Eukaryota; Metazoa; Chordata; Actinopteri; Salmoniformes; Salmonidae. The transcript is spliced from 9 exons.